UACAGAGGGUGCAAGCGUUAAUCGGAAUUACUGGGCGUAAAGGGCGCGUAGGCGGAUUAAUAAGUUACAUGUGAAAGCCCUGGGCUUAACCUAGGAAUGGCGUGUAAUACUGUUAGUCUAGAGUGAAGUAGAGGGUAGCGGAAUUUCCGGUGUAGCGGUGAAAUGCGUAGAUAUCGGAAGGAACACCAGUGGCGAAGGCGGCUAUCUGGACUUCAACUGACGCUGAGGCGCGAAAGCGUGGGGAGCAAAC
This 250-nucleotide ribosomal RNA is filed under the name uncultured bacterium. RNAcentral's name for it is "partial 16S ribosomal RNA". It matches the Rfam family "Bacterial small subunit ribosomal RNA", at positions 524 to 773 of the family's 1533-position model. The record is from RNAcentral.